CCCCGGCGAGGGGAGUGAAAAAGAACCUGAAACCGUGUACGUACAAGCAGUGGGAGCACAGGUUUACCUGUGUGACUGCGUACCUUUUGUAUAAUGGGUCAGCGACUUAUAUUCUGUAGCAAGGUUAACCGUAUAGGGGAGCCGUAGGGAAACCGAGUCUUAACCGGGCGUUAAGUUGCAGGGUAUAGACCCGAAACCCGGUGAUCUAGCCAUGGGCAGGUUGAAGGUUGGGUAACACUAACUGGAGGACCGAACCGACUAAUGUUGAAAAAUUAGCGGAUGACCUGUGGCUGGGGGUGAAAGGCCAAUCAAACCGGGAGAUAGCUGGUUCUCCCCGAAAGCUAUUUAGGUAGCGCCUCGUGAAUUCAUCUCCGGGGGUAGAGCACUGUUUCGGCUAGGGGGCCAUCCCGGCUUACCAACCCGAUGCAAACUGCGAAUACCGGAGAAUGUUAUCACGGGAGACACACGGCGGGUGCUAACGUCCGUCGUGAAGAGGGAAACAACCCAGACCGCCAGCUAAGGUCCCAAAGUCAUGGUUAAGUGGGAAACGAUGUGGGAAGGCCCAGACAGCCAGGAUGUUGGCUUAGAAGCAGCCAUCAUUUAAAGAAAGCGUAAUAGCUCACUGGUCGAGUCGGCCUGCGCGGAAGAUGUAACGGGGCUAAACCAUGCACCGAAGCUGCGGCAGCGAACGUAUCACCCAAGACAACUUUACGGAGUUGACGAUUGACGGAGCGAAGCGACGUCAAAGCGUUCAUUAAAGUCGAGUUGGCUUAGGGAUACGUUCGUUGGGUAGGGGAGCGUUCUGUAAGCCUGUGAAGGUGUGUCGUGAGGCAUGCUGGAGGUAUCAGAAGUGCGAAUGCUGACAUAAGUAACGAUAAAGCGGGUGAAAAGCCCGCUCGCCGGAAGACCAAGGGUUCCUGUCCAACGUUAAUCGGGGCAGGGUGAGUCGACCCCUAAGGCGAGGCCGAAAGGCGUAGUCGAUGGGAAACGGGUUAAUAUUCCCGUACUUGGUGUUACUGCGAAGGGGGGACGGAGAAGGCUAUGUUGGCCGGGCGACGGUUGUCCCGGUUUAAGCGUGUAGGUGUGUGUUCCAGGUAAAUCCGGUU
RNAcentral lists this ribosomal RNA (1106 nucleotides) under Salmonella enterica subsp. enterica serovar Typhimurium. RNAcentral's name for it is "partial 23S ribosomal RNA". It matches the Rfam family "Bacterial large subunit ribosomal RNA", at positions 524 to 1547 of the family's 2925-position model. Lineage: Bacteria; Pseudomonadati; Pseudomonadota; Gammaproteobacteria; Enterobacterales; Enterobacteriaceae. The record is from RNAcentral.